CAGACCUGCCAUUAGGAGCUUUCCAGACCAAAACUCAGCUGCUCCGAAGAGCAAUAAUUCAAUCAACAGACCGUGCUGUCUGCUUUCGGUUCCUUUCACACCUGUCUGCCAGCAGGAUUACUGGGUAAAAGAAGAUCUCGGCUGGGCCCAGACUGUGUCUCCCAGGAAAAGAGACCACCAGAAUCCUGGAGGAGCUGCUUCCAGAACUUCUAAGAAGAAGUGGGUCUGAGUGGCACAAAAGAUAGACCAUGGAAGAUGCUGUGCUGAGCAGCCCAGAGGCCGCUUCAGGACUAAAGAACUUACUCCCUCAGCUGCUGGAAGUGCUGCCAGCUGAGAACCCCCUUCAGAACUGCCUUGGUGGUAGAGAGUUGCCUCGCCCCAAAUGACACCCUCUUCCCAGGGCAACCUGCAUCCAGUGACUGGUGGAUGCGGAGGUGUAAAAGCCCUGUACCAUCACCACCACUCGAUCCGACUCUGAAGGUCCACCCCAGCUUCCGGGCUCCCCACGGUGUUGGCGGAGGCCUUUGUUGCCGCUGCACCAGCCCGCAGCUUUCCCCUUACUUCAGUGCUGCUUCCUCCUUCCCUUCCUUCCACAGAUGUCCAUCCCGAGAGCACUCUCUAAUCAAGCUUCCACACCGCACGCCGAUCCUGCCUCUGUCUGGCAUGCUGGCACAGGGCCAAGCACCCACACGUGUGUUUGGCCAAAUAAAUACAUCUUCUGAAGUCUG
Balaenoptera acutorostrata (minke whale) is the source of this 728-nucleotide long non-coding RNA. RefSeq lists it as uncharacterized. NCBI's taxonomy places the organism in Eukaryota, Metazoa, Chordata, Mammalia, Artiodactyla, Balaenopteridae. The record is from RefSeq and is a predicted model, not a curated record. The transcript is spliced from 2 exons.